Molecule: long non-coding RNA, 1788 nt
Organism: Piliocolobus tephrosceles (Ugandan red Colobus)
Lineage: Eukaryota; Metazoa; Chordata; Mammalia; Primates; Cercopithecidae
Source: Ensembl
UUUUUUUUUUUUUUUUUUUUUUUUGUGCCCUUUCUCAUAAACUCUUUUGUAGAUAAAAAAAAUAAAAACGACAAAGAAAAUAUAAUAACAAAUAAAAGACUUAUAAGUACACAAGUUUUAAAUGAUAAAGUAAUAAAAAAAUGUAAUUCUAUAAAUAACGAUAAUAGUAAUAAUAUAAACAAUAAUGAUAGUAGUAUUGAAAUAAAAGAAAAACGAGUAGAGAAAGAAACAAUACCAGAGACUAAUGAAAAUGUUGAAGCUGUUCCUGUUUCCGUUCCUGUUCCCGUUCCUGUUGCUGUUCCUGUUGCCGCUCCUGUUGCCGUUCCUGUUUCCGCUCCUGUUCCCGUUCCUGUUGCCGCUCCUGUUGCCGCUCCUGUUAUAUAUAAUGUUAACAAUGAAACUUAUAACUUAAAAAUUUCGCAUAUCAAAGAUGAUAAAGACGGAGUAGGUUUGUUCGAAUUGGAAGAACAAAAAUAUAAAACUGACAAUGGUAGCAACAACAUUGGCAACAGUAACAACAUUCUUGAUAGUUUUGCUAGUAGUAGUAGUAGUAGCAGUAAUAGUAGUAGUACUAAUGAUAGUGCAAACUUAAGUAUAAAUAAUUGUACUCCUAGCAGCAUGAGAAAGAAUAAAAGUAAACAAACUGAUAAAAGUAAUGAAAAAAAUAAAAAAAUAAAUGAAGGUGAACAAAGACAAUUAAGCUACAAUAAAAAUGUUAUAAUAGAUACAAUAAAUGAAGAGGCGAAGGAUUAUGUGAAAAUAAAAAGCAACAAUGAUAGUAUAACCGAAAGGGGAAAAAAUAUUAGUAGACUAAACGAAUGUAAAAACAAAAUAUACAUUCCAUUACACAAUUAUGAAGAAGGAGAAAAAAAUUAUUUAAAUGAAAUAAAUUUUAACGGUAACACAAAAAAUGCAACUGAUAACCAUGAAUUUUACAAAUCAAACAAUAACAACAUAUUUAACGAAUUUUUUGACCAAACAGAUUACGAAUUGGCACAAAAAUUAUUACAAAAUUGUAAUUUCUUUUUUAAUAAUAAUAUAAUAAAUCAUAAAAUUAAUUAUCAACACUUUUUAACUUGUAUAAAAAUUCACAGAACAUUUAUUUUACCAUUGUUAAAGGAAAAGGAUUAUGAAAAAUUAACACAGUUUUUUUUAAAUGCAUUUGCAAAUAAAGCUCCAAACAAAAAUGAAGAUAGUAGUGUUGCUUGCAAUUACAAACACACAAUUGAUGAUAAUCAUUACCUUAAUAAAGAAAUAAAUAUUAAUGUACAUACUUCUGUUGCCACUCUAGAACAUCCUAAUAAAAUGUCAUAUGUUAUGAAGGAUGGAAGGGUAAAUGAAGGUUGUUUUAUUAGUCAUAUGUUUGAGAAUGUAGCUAGCGAAAAAAAAAUUAGCGAAAAAAGAAUUAGCGAAAAAAGAAUCAGCGAAAAAAGAAUUAGCGAAAAAAGAAUUAGCGAAAAAAGAAUUAGCGAAAACAAGGUUGACACAAAAAAAAAAGAAAGUACUAAUGACAAACCGAUUGCUGAGUAUUCUAAAAACGUAGCAGUUGACCAUGCUAUUGUUAGUACUACUGGAAGUAAGGAAUUUAACACGGCAGAAGUAGUCGAGCUAAGUAAACAUCAUUUUUCAACAAAUGAAGAUACAAUAUAUGAACUACUACGUUCGUAAUUACUAUUUUUUAAAGAUGAAUAGAAAAGAAAAAAAAAAGAGGGAAAAGCUUUUUAGGUAUUUACUUAGAUUCAUAAGAACGUUUAAAAAAAUAAAGAAUGAAAAAAAAAUGAACGAGCA